Molecule: ribosomal RNA, 254 nt
Filed under: uncultured bacterium
Lineage: Bacteria
Description: partial 16S ribosomal RNA
Rfam family: Bacterial small subunit ribosomal RNA
Source: RNAcentral
GACAUAGGUGGCAAACGUUAUCCGGAAUUAUUGGGCGUAAAGGAUGCGUAGCUGGUCUAGUAAGUUAUCAGUGGUAAAUCGGGGCCCAACCUCGUGGAAGUUGGUAAUACUGUUAGACUUGAGUAUCGGAGAGGUUAACGGAACUCCCUGUGGAGCGGUGAAAUGUGUAGAUAUAGGGAAGAACACCAAACGGCGAAGGCAGUUAACUAUUCGGCUACUGACAUUGAGGCAUGAAAGCGUGGGGAGCAAAACGG